AGAGAACCAAGGAGACUUUUCGUAGUAAAUAGAUAAACACUAUUAAGUAUUAAUUAACUAUUCAUGAUAAGGAUAUGCAGUCAUCUGCAGAUCAGUGCACAAUUUAGGUUUUACUAAGGCAGUUUAACUGAGGUGUCCUAUGUUGUGGGUGAGUUUGCUAAUCACAGAGCUUCUAUUGACACAACUGUGCCUCCUGCCAAAGAGUCAGCUCCCAGUCUCCACAACACGGCAGGGCCAGCGGACACAGCCCAAAGCUACAGGAUGGCUUUGCCACCGCUCUGCUUACGCUACUGAGCUUAGCAAGAUCAUGACCUCCACCUCGUUUGGUCUAAGAAGUAAGAACUCUUCUUUGGCUUGCCUGAAGCUGUUCAAUCGUCUCUACAGACCACAGUCCAUCUGACACUGUGUUACAUAAACUGCAGACCAUGGAGGGAAGAGGCACAAAAAGGGAAUACAUAUUUCUCUGUGAUAGUUUUCAGCACAUGUUCGCAGUUGUCAGAGUCUUACCUACUUUUUAUUCUUGCUUCCCUGGAAAAACCUUUUUGAGAGGUGGGGCAUUUGUCAAAGAACAAGAAAGGCAAUAACCAGACAGUUAGGUAUAUCACAGCCAGUCCGUCCAGAUUGUAUGUAAAUUAAGUAGUUACACAGUGAAGUAAUAACCUUUUCAAAUGACUGAUAAUAACACUUACAAAUUCUUGGAACAGCCCUGCUGGCUGAAGAGAAGUAAAUCAAACUGAAAAACAGAAGACGACCAGCAUGACAAAUAGUGUCCAGUCGAUCACAUUUCUUUCCUCAGGAAAAUACUUCCAUUAAUGCAAAUGGAGGUAUAAUUUAAUAUCGAAAACUUCCAGAAGGGUAAAAAGCAAAUAAAGGACAAACUGUACCAGGAAAAUAUGACCGGCUGAUUUGACAGCACUACAGAAAUAGUCAGAUUAAGAAAACAUUCCAUUUGAGGGACCAUUACUUAGAAGUGAUCUGAUUCAUAGCUUGUUUUUGUUUUGUUUUUCUUUCAUAGCAUUUAGGUCAAAAGGGAUCACUGGAAAAUCCAGGCCAUCCUCCUGUUUGCGAAGAGACUUUACAUUUCACCCAAAAGCUUAUAUGUAAAACCCCUUGCUUUUUUUUGUUGUUGUUUGUUGCAUUCCCUGUGUUUGGCUGACACGUAUUCAGAAUUACAUUCAGUCCUGAGCUGAAGAACCAAGAGAGGGUUAUUCUGUCAUCCCCCUUGGGAGUUCACCUCAAUGGUUUGUCACUUUCACCCAAAAAUAUCUUCACCAAUUUUUUUAGUGUGACUUUCACUGAUGACAUGACAUAAUUAGGUUUUUUAGUAAGGCACUUACUAAAGCAUUUAAUACUGGAAUCAUUUUUUUUAGAAAUGGUUUAGAGAAUCAUGAUUAGAGUUAUGGAUAAACUCUCAGAUUCUGAUGUUUGUUAGGAAAGGCUUGUUUCUGCCUUCCAAGCGAUUUUUUUUCUUUCCAAACAAAUCUUCUCAAAUAUUGUGCAACUCAUCCUUCUAUUUUCACAUGCCGUUCCGAGUCUUAAACUCAGGCUACAUUUCAACAGGUUUCAAAAGCCAUUUGCAAAAUGCAAGUCCAAGGCAAUACCUUUGCUCUGUGCUUUAUUUGGACAAAAACUUGUGAAAAAGGGGAGGAGGGGAAGAAGUGGAAGGUGAGAUGCUAUGCCCAAAUUGGUAAGCAGUCUCCUGACAUCUGAGAGACUUCUUAUUGUACUUCAUUCAGCUGAGAGACUGGGACUUGGGCAUCCUGUAGUUCACACUUGCCUGUUCUAAUGAUCGGCUUUUAUAAAGCAGCUGCCUUGUUUCUGUCUUUUGGAGCCAUUUCAGUUUCCAAACAUGAUUGAACAAGCACUGAUGUUGAAUCUUGAUCUUAGCUCUCCCGCAUGGCAGAGAAGUGCACCAGCUGAUGUGCACCACCCGUCAGCACCUUGUUUCUCCUUUUUUAUAGCAAAAAAUAAUCUUAGAGUACAGACGUAUCAUCACACACAAUUAAACUGUUUCACCUUAGAGAGAUAUCCCCAUGCCAGAACGUGGUGUUGGAGCAUCCCAGCUGUAAGUUAAAAUGCAGUAGUUUAAAUGGCAGUUGAGAUGAGAUAGACUCAUAAAUUUCACCUCACACUUAAGAUACGCAAACAAGGCAGCCCUGAAAUGACCUUGCAGUCAACUAGGAAGAGGUAACCUCUCAAACUCUCACAACUGGAGCAUUUUUUGGUUACAUGUCUAUGUGCCAGGUUUCAUCCUACUACAGAAAAUAAAAUUUUGUGAAAGCUGAAAGGUUUUAUGGGACGGUGAAUUUGCUUUCACUUAGACUUACCGUUCAAUUGUUUCUCUACUUAAUUACAUUUUCCUCAAAAUCCGUUUAUUCAUGCAAAAUGACUGACAAACAGCAUGUGUAAACACAAUUUAAAACCUUGUUUUAAAACUUUUCUACUCGAUUUCUCACUUUCUAAUGAAGGCAUACUCUCGGAAAUAGCUUGGCCCGUGUGAAACUGUGAACUGCAGGCACUCGAUUCAAAUUUAGAUUGAAUAAGAGUUAGUCAGUAACUGAUUAAUUCUUUGUAGCAGCAAAUAUUUUUCUCAUCCGUUGCUUAUUGACAGAACUGCUAGGCGCUAUACUGAACAAUGAGCGAUUUCUUCUCUCUCCCCACCCCUCACCCAGCUACAGCCCAAACCCAAACGUUGGCUCCAAAUACUCCCAUGCUCUUUCAGGAGGGAAAAAAAAGUAAUUUUGCAUUGAAAGAUCAUCGCCAAAGCCGAUCCCACUAGCAGUCCGAUCUUCUUUCUAAAAGAGGUGUUCUAGCUCAUGUCAGAGUUUCCAUGUUUUUGCAUAUUGUGACAGACAGCAUGAGGGUUUGGUUUGUGCUCGGUUUACUGUAUGCGCACCACAUGUUCUGCUUUACUAAAGACACGUUGCUGAACAAGGUAGGAGGUGGCCUUAGCCCGUCUGUCAUGUUCUGGGUCAGGCAGAAACAUCUGGCGGGAGUGGAGGUUGCCCCUUCGAGGGGAGCAGCCCAGCGUUCGCAUGCAGAGCGAAGCCGCGGGCUCAGCAAGCGGAGAGGCGGCAACGUGCGCCAGGGCUGGAAGCCUGCCGGGUGGUGGG
Harpia harpyja (harpy eagle) is the source of this 3113-nucleotide long non-coding RNA. RefSeq lists it as uncharacterized. NCBI's taxonomy places the organism in Eukaryota, Metazoa, Chordata, Aves, Accipitriformes, Accipitridae. The record is from RefSeq and is a predicted model, not a curated record. The transcript is spliced from 3 exons.